CCUACGGGAGGCAGUAGUGAGGAAUAUUGGUCAAUGGACGAGAGUCUGAACCAGCCAAGUAGCGUGAAGGAUGACUGCCCUAUGGGUUGUAAACUUCUUUUAUAUGGGAAUAAAAUGUUCCACGUGUGGGAUUUUGUAUGUACCAUAUGAAUAAGGAUCGGCUAACUCCGUGCCAGCAGCCGCGGUAAUACGGAGGAUCCGAGCGUUAUCCGGAUUUAUUGGGUUUAAAGGGAGCGUAGGUGGAUUGUUAAGUCAGUUGUGAAAGUUUGCGGCUCAACCGUAAAAUUGCAGUUGAAACUGGCAGUCUUGAGUACAGUAGAGGUGGGCGGAAGUCGUGGUGUAGCGGUGAAAUGCUUAGAUAUCACGAAGAACUCCGAUUGCGAAGGCAGUUCACUGGACUGCAACUGACACUGAGGCUCGAAAGUGUGGGUAUCAAACAGGAUUAGAUACCCGGGUAGUC
This 460-nucleotide ribosomal RNA is filed under the name uncultured bacterium. RNAcentral describes it as "partial 16S ribosomal RNA". It matches the Rfam family "Bacterial small subunit ribosomal RNA", at positions 338 to 795 of the family's 1533-position model. The record is from RNAcentral.